GUGUUUGAACCACCCAACAAACACAGCACUUCCCUGGGUGCCGUGUGAGUGACUCAGUACAAAACACUGGGAGCAAAGGAAGCUCCAGGCACAGCCUAGAUUUUGUUCCAAGAAGAGACUUGAGGGAAGGUUUGUGGGUACUAAGUGAAAUCAGGCAUUUUGCCAUGGAUAUCCUAUUUUGGUUUGCACCUCUUGGCAUUUGCCCUUACAUCUUACCCUUGGUUUUGCCAUGGAAGAACUGCUUUGUCAGGUUCUGCUGUUCUACAGGACAAGAUUGAUGUUACAAACUAACCUCUGUAUUCUGAUUGCAUCUGAAAAGCCUGUGUGUCCUGCAACUGGCUGGUAGGAUGGUGGUGCUUUCCAGUACAAAUUCUGCACAGAAGCAGGCAAUUCUUGAACAUCAGCCACCACACUACUACUGACUGGAUUGAAAGUGACUGGAAUCUCAAUAUUUUCAUCUACUGCCUCCAAGUGCCAGUUCCUCAUGUCCACAAACUAAUGAAAAAUACAUAAAGGAAAUAAAACUUUGUUUCAUCCUUUAUUAAGCUUUACCAGCACCAAGCAAUGAGAAGAAAUUGUUUAGCCUCUGUAAUUCCCUGACCAUGACAUCCAAUCCCUUCACAGCCAGCGUAAAUCUUCACACAAUGCAUGGACCUCAAAGAGAGUGUAAAUGUAAAGAUGUGCCAGAGCUACUUGGGAUGCAGGCAUUUGGUUUGUCACCUGGAAACUAUAUUCUAUCUUCACCCACAUGAAGACAUAGCCUUUUGGAGGUGACUAGGAAUUGUGCACACAAACCCAAGGAUAUAAUUUGGAGAUGCUUUUUUAACUCCAUUCCAAAAUCAAACCCAAGGCACUAACCUAAAAGACAGUUUGGAUCAGGUUAACAGUUAGGGAGGGGACAUGGCAUGACAUUUUGGAGUGACAGGCAAUGUAGCCUAAUAUUCUGGCUCUUUAAUGCACAUUUUAUGUCUAUGGCUGCUGUUUCAUGAAAGAUCACGCCUCUUUUAAUUUAUCAUCAUGCUGGAGGAAAGAGAGCAUAAUGUGUAUGUAUCAGAACAGUUCUGGAUUCUGGUGUGUUGCCCUUGACUGGCCAGGGCAAUAAAACAAAAAGACGUGUUCUCAUAAAAAGUUUUUGGUGAGAACAAGUAAUGCCUAGAGGAAGUUUUCUACUGAUUUCACUUAGGCCACAUUUUUACCUUUUGCUUUUAAACAGUAAAGGGCACAGUCUGGAUUGCAUAUAGUCCAUGUCUAAACCUUAACUAAACUCCUCAUCCACCAUUCUAGCUCUCUUCUCUUUUCCUGUCCUUUCUCUCACCUUUUUUUCAGUCUUCAGCCAUUUUACUGUUCAUUUAUGCUACUAAAAAUCUUUAUCAUCAUCACACUUGAUGUCAUGUCUCUUAUAGGGAGGGAAGAAAGACUAUUUUUACAAUCUCUGUAGAAUCUGUCACAAUUCUUAAGAAUGCAUCUAUAACAUAGACAUGUAAAAUGCUAUGUGCUUAUCAAAGCAUCUUGAAGGAGAUCACUGACACAGAGUUUGAAGAUAAAGCUAGCGAGAUAAAGGCCCACUCAACUUCAGUCCAACUAGUGACUUGUUAACAAACAGGUGAAAAGGGCCAUUUCUGCUGAAUGGCACUUUCAGACUACACCUAAUCUUAAGAAGGUUGCACUAAAUCUUCACCCGGAGAAUUGCUUGGAGAAUAUUUCUCAUCCUUAGAAACUAAUAAAAUAUAUUUUCAACUCUGGAAGAAAUCUGGAAUUUCCUUAAUGGAACAAGUGUAAGUUCAUGAUAGAGAAGAAAAAAAUCUUUGGUACACC
Long non-coding RNA from Corvus hawaiiensis (hawaiian crow), 1815 nucleotides. RefSeq lists it as uncharacterized. The record is from RefSeq and is a predicted model, not a curated record. The transcript has 4 exons. Lineage: Eukaryota; Metazoa; Chordata; Aves; Passeriformes; Corvidae.